Molecule: long non-coding RNA, 811 nt
Organism: Brienomyrus brachyistius
Lineage: Eukaryota; Metazoa; Chordata; Actinopteri; Osteoglossiformes; Mormyridae
Exons: 3
Source: RefSeq, a predicted model, not a curated record
AAGGAGGCUGCAUACGGGUAGGCGAGGUCAAGGAAGCUGGAGAUGGGUAGGCGAGGUGAAGGAGGCUGCAGACGGGUAGGCGAGGUCAAGGAAGCUGCAGACGGGUAGGCGAGGUCAAGGAAGCUGGAGAUGGGUAGGCGAGGUGAAGGAGGCUGCAUACGGGUAGGCGAGGUCAAGGAAGCUGGAGAUGGGUAGGCGAGGUGAAGGAGGCUGCAGACGGGUAGGCAAGAUCAAGGAAGCUGGAGACGGGUAGGCGAGGUCAAGGAAGCUGCAGACGGGUAGGCGAGGUGAAGGAGGCUGCAGACGGGUAGGCAAGAUCAAGGAAGCUGGAGACGGGUAGGCGAGGUCAAGGAAGCUGCAGACGGGUAGGCGAGGUCAAGGAAGCUGGAGAUGGGUAGGCGAGGUGAAGGAGGCUGCAGACGGGUAGGCAAGAUCAAGGAAGCUGGAGAUGGGUAGGCGAGGUGAAGGAGGCUGCAGACGGGUAGGCAAGAUCAAGGAAGCUGGAGACGGGUAGGCGAGGUCAAGGAAGCUGCAGACGGGUAGGCGAGGUCAAGGAAGCUGGAGAUGGGUAGGCGAGGUGAAGGAGGCUGCAGACGGGUAGGCAAGAUCAAGGAAGCUGGAGACGGGUAGGCGAGGUCAAGGAAGCUGCAGACGGGUAGGCGAGGUCAAGGAAGCUGCAGACGGGUAGGCGAGGUCAAGGAAGCUGGAGAAGGGUAGGCGAGGUCAAGGAAGCUGGAGAAGGGUAGGCGAGGUGAAGGAGGCUGCAGACGGGUAGGCGAGGUCAAGGAAGCUGGAGAAGGGUAGGCGAGGU